This 86-nucleotide transfer RNA is filed under the name bacterium. Its description in RNAcentral is "tRNA-Leu". It matches the Rfam family "tRNA". From Rfam's summary of the family: Transfer RNA (tRNA) molecules are approximately 80 nucleotides in length. Their secondary structure includes four short double-helical elements and three loops (D, anti-codon, and T loops). The record is from RNAcentral.
GCUGGGAUGGCGGAAUUGGCAGACGCGCUAGCUUGAGGGGCUAGUGGGCAAACAAGCCCGUGGGGGUUCAAGUCCCCCUUCCAGCA